CUCCCUGAUGUUAGCGGCGGACGGGUGAGUAACACGUGGGUAACCUGCCUGUAAGACUGGGAUAACUCCGGGAAACCGGGGCUAAUACCGGAUGGUUGUUUGAACCGCAUGGUUCAGACAUAAAAGGUGGCUUCGGCUACCACUUACAGAUGGACCCGCGGCGCAUUAGCUAGUUGGUGAGGUAACGGCUCACCAAGGCGACGAUGCGUAGCCGACCUGAGAGGGUGAUCGGCCACACUGGGACUGAGACACGGCCCAGACUCCUACGGGAGGCAGCAGUAGGGAAUCUUCCGCAAUGGACGAAAGUCUGACGGAGCAACGCCGCGUGAGUGAUGAAGGUUUUCGGAUCGUAAAGCUCUGUUGUUAGGGAAGAACAAGUGCCGUUCAAAUAGGGCGGCACCUUGACGGUACCUAACCAGAAAGCCACGGCUAACUACGUGCCAGCAGCCGCGGUAAUACGUAGGUGGCAAGCGUUGUCCGGAAUUAUUGGGCGUAAAGGGCUCGCAGGCGGUUUCUUAAGUCUGAUGUGAAAGCCCCCGGCUCAACCGGGGAGGGUCAUUGGAAACUGGGGAACUUGAGUGCAGAAGAGGAGAGUGGAAUUCCACGUGUAGCGGUGAAAUGCGUAGAGAUGUGGAGGAACACCAGUGGCGAAGGCGACUCUCUGGUCUGUAACUGACGCUGAGGAGCGAAAGCGUGGGGAGCGAACAGGAUUAGAUACCCUGGUAGUCCACGCCGUAAACGAUGAGUGCUAAGUGUUAGGGGGUUUCCGCCCCUUAGUGCUGCAGCUAACGCAUUAAGCACUCCGCCUGGGGAGUACGGUCGCAAGACUGAAACUCAAAGG
This 841-nucleotide ribosomal RNA is filed under the name Bacillus amyloliquefaciens. Its description in RNAcentral is "bacterial SSU rRNA". It matches the Rfam family "Bacterial small subunit ribosomal RNA", at positions 82 to 907 of the family's 1533-position model. Lineage: Bacteria; Bacillati; Bacillota; Bacilli; Caryophanales; Bacillaceae. The record is from RNAcentral.